GUAGGGAAUAUUGCACAAUGGGCGCAAGCCUGAUGCAGCAACGCCGCGUGCCCGAUGAAGGCCUUCGGGUUGUAAAGGGCUUUUCUGGAGGAAGAGGAAGGACGGUACUCCAGGAAGAAGGAUCGGCUAACUACGUGCCAGCAGCCGCGGUAACACGUAGGAUCCGAGCGUUAUCCGAAUUUACUGGGCGUAAAGCGCAUGCAGGCGGCUGGGUAAGUUGGACGUGAAAGCUCCUGGCUCAACUGGGAGAGGUCGUUCAAGACUGCCUGGCUAGAGGGCGGUAGAGGGAGGUGGAAUUCCCGGUGUAGUGGUGAAAUGCGUAGAGAUCGGGAGGAACACCAGUGGCGAAAGCGGCCUCCUGGGCCGCACCUGACGCUCAGAUGCGAAAGCUAGGGGAGCGAACGGGAUUAGAAACCCUAGUAGUCC
This 426-nucleotide ribosomal RNA is filed under the name uncultured bacterium. Its description in RNAcentral is "bacterial SSU rRNA". It matches the Rfam family "Bacterial small subunit ribosomal RNA", at positions 354 to 796 of the family's 1533-position model. The record is from RNAcentral.